Molecule: ribosomal RNA, 774 nt
Filed under: uncultured Neocallimastigales
Lineage: Eukaryota; Fungi; Neocallimastigomycota; Neocallimastigomycetes; Neocallimastigales
Description: partial large subunit ribosomal RNA
Rfam family: Eukaryotic large subunit ribosomal RNA
Source: RNAcentral
GUACACGCUGUGACUAGCAUAUCAAUAAGCGGAGGAAAAGAAACUAACAAGGAUUCCCCUAGUAACGGCGAGUGAAGCGGGAAGAGCUCAAAUUUGAAAUCUUAAAGGGUUUCCCUUUACGAAUUGUAGUUUAAAGAAGUGUUUUCUGUUGAGGUUUUGGUAAAAGUUCUUUGGAAUAGGACAUCAUAGAGGGUGAGAAUCCCGUAUUUGACCUUUACUUUCAACUUUGUGAUACACUUUCAAAGAGUCGGAUUGUUUGGGAAUGCAGUCCAAAAUGGGUGGUAAAUUUCAUCUAAAGCUAAAUAUUGGCGAGAGACCGAUAGCGAACAAGUACCGUGAGGGAAAGAUGAAAAGAACUUUGAAAAGAGAGUUAAACAGUACGUGAAAUUGUCAAAAGGGAAGCGUUUGACACCAGUGUUGUUUUUCUGAAAAUCAAUUAAAGAACUGUUUAUGCUAAGUUGUUUAGACUUUAUCAGCUAACUGUUUAGUUUUGAGCUUUUCUUUAAUGCACUUUUCAGUUAACAAGUCAACAUCAAUUUCUUUUGCUGUAAAAAAUCUUGAGGAAGGUGGCUUGAGAUUCGUCUUAAGUGUUUAUAGCCUCUUGCCUAUGCAGUCGGAGAGAUUGAGGUCUGCAGCGUAGAUCCUUCGGGGCUAAAUGCAUUUGUGCUAAGUUAUAGCAUUUCAUAGACAACUUGUUGACUAUGAUUUGUCUUGUAGCUUACUCGCUUAUGUUAUUUUACCUACGCUUAGGAUGUUGACAGCAGUAUAGACUGU